This is a small nucleolar RNA of Fukomys damarensis (Damara mole-rat), 116 nucleotides long. NCBI's taxonomy places the organism in Eukaryota, Metazoa, Chordata, Mammalia, Rodentia, Bathyergidae. The record is from Ensembl.
AAUCUUUUUCAAGAUUGUUUUUGAAAAAUUGGUCGAUGUGGUUAAAUUGAGACAUAGGUCAUGUUUCCAUCACAGUAAAUAUAUUAACAGUGGUGACAGUGAGACCAGUAACAUUU